This 253-nucleotide ribosomal RNA is filed under the name uncultured bacterium. RNAcentral's name for it is "partial 16S ribosomal RNA". It matches the Rfam family "Bacterial small subunit ribosomal RNA", at positions 524 to 776 of the family's 1533-position model. The record is from RNAcentral.
UACGAAGGGGGCUAGCGUUGCUCGGAAUCACUGGGCGUAAAGCGCACGUAGGCGGAUCUUUAAGUCAGGGGUGAAAUCCCAAGGCUCAACCUUGGAACUGCCUUUGAUACUGGGGAUCUCGAGUCCGGAAGAGGUUGGUGGAACUCCGAGUGUAGAGGUGAAAUUCGUAGAUAUUCGCAAGAACACCAGUGGCGAAGGCGGCUCACUGGCCCGAUACUGACGCUGAGGCACGAAAGCGUGGGGAGCAAACAGG